RNAcentral lists this transfer RNA (70 nucleotides) under Heterocephalus glaber (naked mole-rat). It matches the Rfam family "tRNA". Rfam says of the family: Transfer RNA (tRNA) molecules are approximately 80 nucleotides in length. Their secondary structure includes four short double-helical elements and three loops (D, anti-codon, and T loops). The record is from Rfam by way of RNAcentral. Lineage: Eukaryota; Metazoa; Chordata; Mammalia; Rodentia; Bathyergidae.
GGGUGUAGCUCAGUGGUAGAGCACUUGCCUGGAAUGCGCGAGGCUCUGGGUUCCACGCCUAGUACUACCA